CCUACGGGUGGCAGCAGUCGAGAAUCAUUCACAAUGGGGGAAACCCUGAUGGUGCGACGCCGCGUGGGGGAAUGAAGGUCUUCGGAUUGUAAACCCCUGUCAUGUGGGAGCAAAUUAAAAAGAUAGUACCACAAGAGGAAGAGACGGCUAACUCUGUGCCAGCAGCCGCGGUAAUACAGAGGUCUCAAGCGUUGUUCGGAAUCACUGGGCGUAAGGCGUGCGUAGGCUGUUUCGUAAGUCGUGUGUGAAAGGCGCGGGCUCAACCCGCGGACGGCACAUGAUACUGCGAGACUAGAGUAAUGGAGGGGGAACCGGAAUUCUCGGUGUAGCAGUGAAAUGCGUAGAUAUCGAGAGGAACACUCUUGGCGAAGGCGGGUUCCUGGACAUUAACUGACGCUGAGGCACGAAGGCCAGGGGAGCGAAAGGGAUUAGAUACCCUAGUAGUC
This 446-nucleotide ribosomal RNA is filed under the name uncultured bacterium. RNAcentral's name for it is "partial 16S ribosomal RNA". It matches the Rfam family "Bacterial small subunit ribosomal RNA", at positions 338 to 795 of the family's 1533-position model. The record is from RNAcentral.